Long non-coding RNA from Leopardus geoffroyi (Geoffroy's cat), 529 nucleotides. RefSeq lists it as uncharacterized. The record is from RefSeq and is a predicted model, not a curated record. The transcript has 2 exons. NCBI's taxonomy places the organism in Eukaryota, Metazoa, Chordata, Mammalia, Carnivora, Felidae.
CCCCCGCACCACUGCGCCCGCGCACCCCUGAACUCGAAGGGGUGGGUGGGAGUUGGUCUCCUUUUGCUCCACUGCGCUUGCGCGGCAGACUCAGGGCUGGGCUUUUUUUCUGGCGCUGGGAGUCCUGGUCAUGACAGACCCCUAGAGGCUGUGGUCUGAAAUGCUCGCUGGGUUUUGGCCCUAUCGCUUCAAAGCUCCACCUCCGUCCUCCACCUCCCCCACCCCCCACUCCUGGUAUGAAGCCUCUAAUUUAAGAAGCACCUUUGGAGAAAUAGAAGAUGAUAAGACGUGAAGGAGCCACAGACCCUAACACCAUGACCACUAAAGCCCUGAUGACUCCUGCCUGCAUCUCUUCCUGCCAAGUGUCACCAGAAAACCUCUGCCCCAUUGCCAUCUACUACCCUCACAUGACCUCCCUAGCCUCUGAAAGCAGACACUGGGAUGCUAAGAGAAUCAAAUACGAAGAACCAAGGACUGGCCUCCCAAAUGUGUGUUCUCAGAUUUUGCUGAUGGUAAAGAAUGAGAAUUG